Molecule: transfer RNA, 72 nt
Filed under: Sus scrofa (pig)
Lineage: Eukaryota; Metazoa; Chordata; Mammalia; Artiodactyla; Suidae
Rfam family: tRNA
About the family: Transfer RNA (tRNA) molecules are approximately 80 nucleotides in length. Their secondary structure includes four short double-helical elements and three loops (D, anti-codon, and T loops).
Source: Rfam by way of RNAcentral
UCCCUGGUAGUCUAGUGUUUAGGACUCUGAGCUUUCACCACUGCAUCCCAGGUUCAAUCUCUGGUCUGGGAA